AAAUAGAUUACUGAAGACAAUACUCAAGAAAGGAAACUAUUCUUGAGGCCUGAUAAAUCUUUUUUUUUUUUUUUGAGGCCUGAUAAAUCUUAAACACAGAGUAGGAUCGACAUAUCUAUUAUCUCCAGGGCAGGUUUAGCUGAGAUCUUAGCAGAGGCUGAAAAUGGAGCUGGUUCUUUAUCCAUGUCAUUCUGUUUGGGGAUGUAAAACAUGCACUUAAAAUUAAUUAAAGAAGUUUAGUGAAAUAUAUCUUGCUUAAAUUGUGCAAAAUCAGAAUUCAUAGCAUUGUUCGCAGCUUUUACCAAUAGAAGAACUUUGAUUAUUUCUUCCUUUAAAGAUACAGAGCCCCCAAAAGUUCGGUUUCAUUCUGCCCAUAUGUUUUGCAAUUAGAUGAGAUAAAAUUGCUUUUAUACUGGUAAUAUAACAGCUGUUCUAUAUGAUAUGCUUGCCAGGGAGACAGCUCAGCUCUGAAAGGAGGGGAAAUUCAUUCGGUUGGAAAAAGCAAUGUAUUUCUGUGUGGUCAUAGGGAAAAUGAUAAAGAGUAGGAAUAUUUUCAACCUGACUAGAGAAUAUUAAAUGAUCCUACUUAGUAAAUUGUAGACUCUGUAGAUAACUCAUUUUUGUGACUUUAGUUUCAGUCUUAGAUGCUUCCUAGAAACUGGCAUAUUACCAGGCAUCUUACUAUAUUUUUAUUAUUUGUUUAAAAAAAUCUAGUGCUUUUAAUUUGAUGUAUGUGAGCAAAAAGAAGAGAUUAUGAGUAUCAUUGUUAAUUAUAGGGAGAACAUAAUAUUUUCUAAUUCCUUUUAAUUUUGGAAAUGAUUUUUAAAGGUGUAAUCCUUAAAAAAUAUUCUAGGGAGGGAUGCCUGAGGGGUUCAGUGACUGUUCAACAGACCCGUGAGCGUCUGCCUUCCGCUCAGGGCGUGAUCCUGGGGUCCGGGAUCGAGUCCCGCAUGUCGGGCUCCCUGCAGGGAGCCUGCUUCUCCCUCUGCCUGUGUCUCUGCCUCUCUUGCUCGCUCUCUGUGUGUCUCUCAUGAAUAGAUAAAUAAAAAAAUUGUUCUGGGGAAAGUUUACAUGUUGUCAUCUCUGAAGGAAAUUGAAUGGACUGUUGCUUUUGGGUCCUCUUCAGUCUCAUCUAUCAUUUUUAGGAUGUUAUGUUCAGUUUGGGAAGUAUUAAUGAAAAAAAUAAGGAAAAAAGUAUUUCAACAAACUUACCCUGUUUUUAUUUGUGGAUUGAAGUUUGAUUAGAGGAAGGCAUUGGACUUUUUCUGCUGUAGGUUUCUCAUUUGAUUUUAUAGUCAUUGUAAUCCUUCAGUAUGUUUUUACUUAUUCAUUGUGUAUGAAAUGCAUUAACAAUAUAGCCCCACCAUCCAUUGAUGUUGUGUGGGUUAAUGAAUAGUUGUAAAGCGUACCAAAAAUACAAAGCAAUCUAGCUGUUGGGUGUUAUUAUGUUGAAUUGUUGGUGUAUUGCAUGCAAACCUAUCCUGUUCAACUGGUUUUAGUUUCUAAGUUAGUUUGUUGCUUCAACUUGUCCACAGAAGCAGAGCCGAAUGGUUUAGCUAAUCAGUAGAGCAGUCAGAACUGAAUUCCAGUCUGCCUUUCUAUUCACUUUGUAGGUCCCUGAACAUCUAUUUUUUAAAUGGCUCUGGGACUUAGCUUCUCUGACUAGAAGAUGAAGCCUGUUCCUUACGCUCAGUCUUCCAAGAUUUUUUGAGAAGUCUCACGUGCAGAUUUCUGUGGGCUUUUCUCAAAUGCAAUGGCUUUAUAGAAUUAGAACUGUUUUCUGGUAUUCUUUCCUGAUAGCUUUUGACUAAACGCAACAAAGAAGCAGAUGCAUUUAUAAUGUGGCUUCUUUACGCAAAGUAUAAUUUUAUACUGUUUUGUAAUUAUAUAUUUGUAUAAUUUAUAGACAGUAAUGGUAUUUUUUUAAAGUUUGGGAUGCUUCAGUAUUAUUUUUCUUCAUAUACUACCUUGAGAAAAUAAAAUAAUCUUUAUCUUAUAUUAAACUUAUAAAUAAGUUGCUCUUUUGUACAUGUUUAAUAUUACUUUUGGCUGAGCUGUGUAGAAAGGGAUUCCCUUAACCUUUUUUUACGAUUAUAAAAAUAAUGUGUUCAUUUUAGAAAAUGCAAAGAAGUGUAAAGACAAAAAAUGAACUCAGAUAACUAUAAAGUUAACAUUUUAGUGAAAACUAGAGAAUUUUUUUACAUCUAUAUUUACUUUAUUCCCUUCUCUGUCAUUGAGAUAAUUCUAUAUGGAUGUAUUAUUGCUCUGAUACUGCUCUUAAACAUUGUGUGUGUGUGUGUAUGUGUGUGUGUGUGUGUGUGUGUAUAUACAUAUAUAUAUUUAUAUGACGAUUUUAUUUAUUUGUUUAUUUGAGAGAGAGGUGCGAAAGAGAGCGUGAGCAGUAGGCAGGGGGAGAAGCAGCUGUGGGGCUGGAUCCCAGGGCCCUGAGAUCAUGACCUGAGCUGAAGGCAGACACUUAGCUGACUGAGCCACACAGGCACCCCUUAAACAUAAUAUAUUUCAAGUAUCUUUAACGUUUUAAAAUGGGAAAUCUUUCAAAUUGAAGUUGAAAGUAGUAGUAUUAGUGAUAUUACUGUAAUCUGAAUGAUCAAAAUCUGAAUGCUAAGUAACUGUAUUAGAUGCUUCCUGAUAAUUACAGAAAAAAAUAACUAAACGAUAAAGUUUUUUUAAUCUAUGAAAAGCCCACAGCUAAUCAUUGAGUUUAAUAUUUAAUUACUACAUACAUUGCUCUGUUUCUCACAAAAUCCCUUUUUUUUUAAAUAAAAAACAGACACGUGAGUUGGAUUUAGCACUCUUCUGAAGUCAAGUAUAUGACAGAUCAAAAUGGGAAAUAAUUCACCACAUUUAAAUUAUUUGUUAUAUCACCAAAAAGAAUGUGAAUCCAUUUUGAAUGGAGAUCUCAGAUUCCAUAUAAUGCUUUACUUGAGACUUGGUACUCCUUGUCAGAACCAAACUAGCGACUGUUUCUCAUGUGUCUGUUCUAGCACAAGCACGAUUUUUCUUGGGUUCAAGUGGUCCUCAAAAGCCCAAAGCAGUCUGGAACCAAGCCAGGCAUUUGAUAUUUUCAAAUCUAUGUUGAGGAAAGUCAAAGUGUCCAUCUGCCUGGCUCAGAUAUUGCCAAAAAAGGCCUGGAUUCUGUGCUAAAGAACAUGCCAAAAAAUUGACUCUGGCCUCCAGGAAACUGAUAUCUACCUCACAUAAUAAUCUCUGUUCUCUGAGUUUUGUGAAGAAAAGGCUAUAACUUUUAAAUCAAAGAGGUAAUGAACUAUAGUGUUAUUGAGAGAGGAUUAAAUUAAUGCACAUAAAAAACUUAGUUGUGCUUAAUAAUCAGCACGUAGUAAACCUUCAGAGUUGGCUAUCGUUAUUAUUAAUAUUGCUUUAUUACAUUCACCAUGUUUAAAAAACAGCAGAGUGAACUCUGUCAAUUCUAGAUUAAUACACGUCAGCUUCCCUGCCGUGAUCUGGGGACUGGCAACCCACUGGUAAUCAGAAGACUUGCACGUUGUCACAGAUCAACCUUUUCUAACAGGUGAUUCUAAGGUACAGGUAGGACCAAUAUGCUUGAUGCAAAAGUCUACCUCCUGUCCUGUCAAGAGUGGCCGAGGCCAAGCCAGAAUUACUCUGUGCCGUAUUGCCAGAUACACAGUAAUGGUACUGCUCGGAACUGAGCUGAAUGGAAGCUAUUUUCAAAAAGCAAAUGCAAAGAUGGUGACUCUGGGGAUUCCCUGAAGCAGCCAUUGUCCAGUUCUAGCAGGUAUGUAAUCCUCUGGGUCUUUUGUAGGUAUUGAGCUCUAGCCACAAAUGACCAGUAAAGUGAAAAUAAGACUGGGGCCUAUAGAAAGACAUGACCACUCAAUUUUACAUUGGUUGCACAUUGACAUUUUUGAAAGCAUGCCAAAUAUAACAUGCACAUACACAGCCCAAGUCACAUAAUCUCCCUGGGCUUCUAUAUGGUCAUCUGUAACAUGAGUAUAACAGUGCCAGCCUAAUAGGGUGCUUGAGUGUUGACCUAGAAUUCAAACCCACCUCUGUCUGACUUAAAAGUCUGUGUUCUUUUUCUCUUUUAACUAAGCUAUGCUGCACUGUCAAAGCAGAUAGCAGUAGCAGAAAUGAAAUAAAGCAUUCAGUGGAUACAGAACACUUUUUAGGUUCUGUUUUUGUCACCUUCCCUAGCAUCCCCCAGGAAGCCCUUAUAUUGUCCUUUUCAGCACUCAUUCUGAAUUGCACAGUGACUCUGGUUUGAUUUCAGUAGCUACUGGGAAAAUCAAAAUUAGAUCAAAGAGUGUUUCUCAGAGGUAGAUAUGGAUGUGGGGUAAGGGUGGGGAGAGGAAAUAACGGUGGAAAUUGGAUGAGACUAAACAGGUAGACACCCAUGAUAAAUGUAAAGCAGAACUAACUGUAAGACUGUCAAAUCAGGGAUCCCUGGGUGGCGCAGCGGUUUGGCGCCUGCCUUUGACCCAGGGCGCGAUCCUGGAGACCCGGGAUCGAAUUCCAUGUCGGGCUCCCGGUGCAUGGAGCCUGCUUCUCCCUCUGCCUGUGUCUCUGCCCCUCUCUCUCUCUCUCUCUCUCUCUCUCUCUGUGUGACUAUCAUAAAUUAAAAAAAAAAAAAAAAAAAAAAA
This 4640-nucleotide long non-coding RNA is filed under the name Canis lupus familiaris (dog). RNAcentral describes it as "lncRNA (ENSCAFG00845014648.1)". The record is from RNAcentral. Lineage: Eukaryota; Metazoa; Chordata; Mammalia; Carnivora; Canidae.